UGCACAAUUAUUGUUGACAUUAAUUUCCUAGUGCAGGUCCAGUUUGCUUGCGACCGUCCCCAGUGUGUUCUACUUCUCCUAAACAAGACAGUGUUCAAUUCAUUAGUUUACUGUUUUCCAGAGACUAAAUAGACUUUUGCCCAUCACCAUGGCUCAGAAGAAGGUAACCAUCGAAUACUGUGGUUCCUGAGGGUACUAUCCGCGCUACCGAGAGCUGCACGAGAUGAUCGAGUCAGCAAUCAAAGGCGUGGAUGUUAGUGGCAAGCGGGGCAGACCUAGUUCAUUCGAGGUUAAGUUGAAUGGCCAGGUCUUGUAUUCCAAGCUCAAAAAUGGAGGGUUUCCAGACUUAGAUGCAAUUGUGGAAGCCAUCGAGGACUACAAGGGUGAAGGCACUGUAACUCCAGUGGAGAAGAAAGCAGCGUCAUGUAUCAUCUUGUAAAGAGAAUGGACACCCCCCCCCCUCUCACAGGUUCACUGGACAGAAUAGAUAAUCCUUUACAAUCUUAGCACAGCACCAAAGAAUGAGACCCUUUAAAGCACAAAGUGUAGAACACCAUUGACCCCUUUUUAAUGCAGGUAUAACAAAGAGCUCAAAUUUGGAAGUGAAUGAGGUCAAACUUCACAAAUUUCUUUUUUUCCUUCUCAGGUACAUGGCUAUUUUUAUUGAAUUUUGUUGUAAAUAAGGUGUCAGGUUAUACUUCUAAAGGAAGAAAUCAAGAAUUUACUAUAAUAAUAAUAAAUAUAAUAAAAACAAACAAGCAAACAAAAAACUAAUCUGAAACACAUUAAAUUUAAUAUACAGGGAUAUCUAAUUCAAUACAUGAAUUCCUUUUUAUAGUAUGAAUUUAAAGUACGCUCUAAUAUCACAAUUUGAAAUGCCUGUUCUAUUCUGUCAAGUGAACCUACAUCGACAAAAUGUCUUUCAUUCUCUAAGUCACAUGAAAUCAUACUUUCCCCUUAGCAUUACCGACUCAUGGUCCAACUAAUGACAAGUUGGGUUGAAAGGGGAGGAACCACCUCCCCCUAUCCAAGCUUUGAUGUAAUCUGGGUCUGUUUGUGAAGCUAGAGGUAAAGAGAUUUCUUGUGUUCAAUUUAUGUUAUGUUAUAUUCGUAAUUUUCGUAAAUGUAUUACAGUUAACAACUAGAUUAUUCUUAGUCUUGCCAAGUUUUUGUAAUUGCUAGUAAGUAUGUGAUAAAGUUGAUUAGUCCCAAUUUAUGUUUCUUGAUAGUGUGAUAUAUUGAAGCUCACAUCUAUGAGUAUUCAACAAAAGGCCUAAUUCAACCAGUCCACUUUUGAUUCUUGAGUUACAAAGAACAAAAAUAACAUCGAAUUUAAUUACAGGGGGUAUGAAUAAUUCAGUGGUUUAACUGUUUAUAUGAUGUAUAGAUAUUUUUGUUUAUAGCAUAUCCGUCAUGAAAAAGAGUUUGGUUUUAUAAUUAUGUGGUAUCUUUGAGUGAUUAUUGUUUACGAGAAAUGUGAUGAAGCACAAAGUAGGCUGUAAUUAUUCUCAGGGAAGAGUACAUUAUCUUGAUAUUAUUAACCAUUGGCCAUGAAAGAAAAAAGCAAAACAACAUUUGCAUCUUUGCUUAAAAAAAAAUCACAAAUACAAUUUGGUAAAUAUAAUCACAUGGCAAUCACUUUGAGAAAAAUAAAUUAGGUGUUCUUGAUAUUGUUGUGGUAAUGGUGAAAGUCAUGUUAAACCUUGAAAGUGAUAGUGGGACUAAAUCUAAACCAGAAUAGAAUAAUAGAGUUCAGCUCAAAAGCUUUGUACAUCUGAAUCGGUUAUUUCAAAGAAUAAUUCUGCACUUAACUGUGUUUGAAAUUCUCUUCAGCUUUGCUUAGAAAUCCAUUUAUCUAUCACAUGUUUUUUUAAUUUUUUAUAAAAGAUGUCCGAAAAUGUUAUGGUAAGUUGGAGGCUUUCAUCUAUUGGUCUAGAAAUCGUAAUUGCCAUUGAUGCCUUGAAGGUUUAUGUCCAUGUUGAAAUAAGCCCGGUGUCAGAGACUUAUGCAGUUUUGUACAAUUCAUCCCAAUCCACAGUUAUUGACUAUCUGAGAAAUAAAUGCAAUUAAAACUUAAUUUCCAACAGCA
Molecule: long non-coding RNA, 2089 nt
Organism: Strongylocentrotus purpuratus (purple sea urchin)
Lineage: Eukaryota; Metazoa; Echinodermata; Echinoidea; Camarodonta; Strongylocentrotidae
Exons: 4
Source: RefSeq, a predicted model, not a curated record